Molecule: transfer RNA, 77 nt
Filed under: Staphylococcus gallinarum
Lineage: Bacteria; Bacillati; Bacillota; Bacilli; Caryophanales; Staphylococcaceae
Description: tRNA-???(tgta)
Rfam family: tRNA
About the family: Transfer RNA (tRNA) molecules are approximately 80 nucleotides in length.
Source: RNAcentral
GCCGGCCUAGCUCAAUUGGUAGAGCAACUGACUUGUAAAUCAGUAGGUUGGGGGUUCAAGUCCUCUGGCCGGCACCA